This 498-nucleotide ribosomal RNA is filed under the name uncultured bacterium. RNAcentral describes it as "partial 16S ribosomal RNA". It matches the Rfam family "Bacterial small subunit ribosomal RNA", at positions 28 to 507 of the family's 1533-position model. The record is from RNAcentral.
GACGAACGCUGGCGGCGUGCCUAAUACAUGCAAGUCGAGCGGACGGAUGGGAGCUUGCUCCCUGCCCGUCAGCGGCGGACGGGUGAGUAACACGUGGGCAACCUGCCUGUAAGACUGGGAUAACUCUGGGAAACCGGGGCCAAUCACGGAUAACUCUUUCCCUCCCCUGAGGGCAAGCUGCAAGAUGGCAUCUCGCUAUCACUUUCAGAUGGGCCCGCGGCGCAUUAGCUAGUUGGUGAGGUAACGGCUCACCAAGGCGACGAUGCGUAGCCGACCUGAGAGGGUGAUCGGCCACACUGGGACUGAGACACGGCCCAGACUCCUACGGGAGGCAGCAGUAGGGAAUCUUCCGCAAUGGACGAAAGUCUGACGGAGCAACGCCGCGUGAGUGACGAAGGUGUUCGGAUCGUAAAACUCUGUUGUCAGGGAAGAACAAGUACCGGAGUAACUGCCGGUACCUUGACGGUACCUGACCAGAAAGCCACGGCUAACUACGUG